AUUGAACGCUGGCGGCAUGCCUUACACAUGCAAGUCGAACGGCAGCGCGGGGCAACCUGGCGGCGAGUGGCGAACGGGUGAGUAAUAUAUCGGAACGUGCCCUGGAGUGGGGAUAACGUAGCGAAAGUUACGCUAAUACCGCAUACGAUCCAAGGAUGAAAGCAGGGGACCUUCGGGCCUUGUGCUCCUGGAGCGGCCGAUAUCUGAUUAGCUAGUUGGUGGGAUAAAAGCCUACCAAGGCGACGAUCAGUAGCUGGUCUGAGAGGACGACCAGCCACACUGGAACUGAGACACGGUCCAGACUCCUACGGGAGGCAGCAGUGGGGAAUUUUGGACAAUGGGGGGCAACCCUGAUCCAGCAAUGCCGCGUGUGUGAAGAAGGCC
This 384-nucleotide ribosomal RNA is filed under the name uncultured bacterium. Its description in RNAcentral is "bacterial SSU rRNA". It matches the Rfam family "Bacterial small subunit ribosomal RNA", at positions 30 to 416 of the family's 1533-position model. The record is from RNAcentral.